CUCUCUGGCCCCACAGCAGAGGCCAGCCUAACAGCUAGCCCCACUUUCUCCCAUUGUCAGGGCACCACCCUUGCAUGGAAAGUUGGAUUUCAUUCUGUCUCGGUGCCAGCUCCAGCUGGAGUGCCUUCCUGCCCACCUACCCAGUGAAUGCUGUCUGCAUCCUCACAUCUGACUACAUCCGCAGGGGCUUGAGAUGACCCUAGCUUGUGUCAAGUUGAUAAAACAUUAGCCGGCACAGUCCCCUUCCUGGAGGCAAAUAGGGAAGUAUCCAGCAGGCUCCCAUUUGACAAAGAAGCAAGCGGAAGCCCUAAGCCCAGAGUAAUGUCCUCAGUCAUCGAUACCACUGCAAAAGAAGCUCCCUUGCCCAUAACGGCCAGCGGCAGCACGGAUCAUGGACUUCUACAUGGUUUCCGGUGGCAGCACGGACCACAGACAUCAGCACUGACCAUGGCCAUCAACAUGGUCUCCAGUGGCAGCAUGGACCAUGGAAGCCUUUUGUGGAGAUUUAAUCCAGAAAGCGGACCACUCUUCCUCUUAAGUUGUUGCUCAGAGUCAGGAUGAUUGUGAGGUUGGGCGUUGGUUGGGAUCGUGUCUCGGGUGGUGGUGAUGGGCAGGACCGAUGCAAACUCCAGGCUGCUGUACACUACCCUGCCCUCUUCACUGGCCGCCCUGCGAGUGUCCUCGGGCGUGAGUCUGCAGCCCAGCCACAGCGUGCUCCUUGGUCCUCCACCAUGCCUCUACUUCUGCUUCUCGCCACUACACAUGCCCUCCAUUCCACCAUCUUUCCCAUUUCUCCAUCGCACAUUCAUUUAUUAAGGUGGCACUGCAAUCUGUUGCGUGUCACACAGUGUAUUAUUUUUCCCAAACAGCUUUACAUGCAAAUAUUUAUUGCAACAAAUCACUGAUCUGGUUCAAGGUUUCUGAAGCACCACAAAUACUGGAAUAUCACUGAAACUCAUCUCAGAUAUCCUGCUGUUGCCCAGAGUCACAGGGAGCAGUGUGUCCAGGGCCAGGACCUGUGUGUGGUGGCCUGUCAUGCUUUCCUCCCCUGCAGUGGCAGCGGCGGUGGCGGUGGCUCCGUUUCACAGGCCUUACAUUUUAUUUUGGAAGAUUUAUGUCUGAAUGCAUGUAUAUGUGUCUACCCUAUGUGUGCCUGGUGCGCACAGAGAUCGGAAGAGGGCAUCAGAUCACUUAGAGCUGGAAUUAUAGAUGGUUUUGAGCUUCCGUAUAGGUGCUGGGAACUGAACCUGGGUCUUCUGCACGAGCAGCAAUUGCUCUUAACAGAUGAGACAACUCCCCAGCUCAUAAAAAUUUUAAAACAUUUUAGGGGGGCCAUGCUUACUGUGCACGUGGAGGUCAGAGGGCAUCGUGGGGGUCAGUUCUCUCUUCUCGCUGUGUGAGUUUCAGGGAUUGAACUCAGGUCUCCAAGCUUGGUGGCAAGCACCUUUAUGGUAUGGGCCAUCUCGCUGGACCCUCAAAUUUCCCUUUCACCCAUCUUCUUUUAACCUAAUUCUUUCUUUGGCUGAAUCGAAUCCGUUCUCCAGCCAUCCCUUGCUUUUAAUCUCUAUUACUCAGAGAGAGGAGGGAGGGACAUGUGAGUCAUUUGGAGCAUCAGCCCACAGAUGCGCUGGUGCAGCUGAGCAGGUGGUUCCCAAAGCUUUGGUUCUCCAAUUUCGCAGACUGCAGGGAGCCCUGCGGGCUCUCCAUCCUGACAGGAGGUCCCUGAGAACUAAAGUGGCCAUGUGUGUGGUUCUGGAUGUGGGAUCCUGGAAGGCAGGUGAGACACAGGCCCAUGAACGCAUCUACAAAGAAUGAAUAUUGUAAGCAUACUGAUUCACCGUUUAAUGAUUAAACACCAAAAUCCAAAUGUGUCCAGCACCAUGACCAGUGGGUCAGAAAUACAAUCUCAGUGUGAUUGUUUAUUUACAUAUUAUUGUAUUCUGGGGUCAAGUGCAGCCACUCAGAUGUGCUAGACUAGUGCUCUACCGUUGAGUUGUAUCCUUGGCCUCUGAGUCUCUUCUUUUCUUAGUUUGUUUGUUUUUUGUUUUUUCAAAACAGGGUUG
Mesocricetus auratus (golden hamster) is the source of this 2063-nucleotide long non-coding RNA. RefSeq lists it as uncharacterized. The transcript has 4 exons. The record is from RefSeq and is a predicted model, not a curated record. Lineage: Eukaryota; Metazoa; Chordata; Mammalia; Rodentia; Cricetidae.